AAGACUAUAGACCUGCGGAGUACCUGCGGAAGGAUCAUUAUCGAGUUGCAAAACUCCCUAAACCAUUGUGAACCUACCUGUACCGUUCCUUCGGCGGGCGGCGUCAAGCCCUAACCCGGUCCCCUUUACGGGGGAUGGACCCGCCGGAGGCUCCUAAACUCUUAAUUUUAGUUGGCAUCUCUGAGUAAAUCAAAAUAAGUCAAAACUUUUAGCAAUGGAUCUCUAGAUCGGAAGAGCACA
Molecule: unclassified non-coding RNA, 240 nt
Filed under: soil metagenome
Description: partial contains 5.8S ribosomal RNA, internal transcribed spacer 2, and large subunit ribosomal RNA
Source: RNAcentral